Xylariomycetidae sp. FL0641 is the source of this 89-nucleotide non-coding RNA. NCBI's taxonomy places the organism in Eukaryota, Fungi, Ascomycota, Sordariomycetes. The record is from the annotation of a GenBank genome assembly.
GGCCUCCUGGCCUAAUGGUUAGGGCGCCAGAUUUCGGUGAACAGUCACUUAUCCUCUGGAGAUUGUCGGUUCGAAUCCGGCGGAGGUCG